GUCCAGUGCUACAGCACACACUUGUAAUUCUAGCUACUUGGGAGGCUGAGGCAGGAGGAUCUCUUGGGCCCAGGAGCUCUAGGCCACUCUGGGCAACACAGUGAGACCCUGUCUCAA
Molecule: small RNA, 117 nt
Filed under: Marmota monax (woodchuck)
Lineage: Eukaryota; Metazoa; Chordata; Mammalia; Rodentia; Sciuridae
Source: RNAcentral